This 253-nucleotide ribosomal RNA is filed under the name uncultured bacterium. RNAcentral's name for it is "partial 16S ribosomal RNA". It matches the Rfam family "Bacterial small subunit ribosomal RNA", at positions 524 to 776 of the family's 1533-position model. The record is from RNAcentral.
UACGGAGGACCCGAGCGUUAUCCGGAUUUAUUGGGUUUAAAGGGUGCGUAGGCGGCCUAUUAAGUCAGGGGUGAAAGACGGUAGCUUAACUAUCGCAGUGCCUUUGAUACUGAUAGGCUUGAAUGUACUUGAGGUAGGCGGAAUGUGACAAGUAGCGGUGAAAUGCAUAGAUAUGUCACAGAACACCAAUCGCGAAGGCAGCUUACUAAAGUAUGAUUGACGCUGAGGCACGAAAGCGUGGGGAUCAAACAGG